GGUCAGUGAAAAUGAUUCCGAGUGACUAAUGGAAACAAAUGCUCCAAAAAUACAAAGAAGAAGAGGAACCCUCCAAACAAACAAACAAAAAAGCAAUGUGAGAAAGCCAACCAAGCUACUGCUUCCAGAGAAAGCCACAACUGGACAGGAUGCAGAUUGUGGAGAAGACCAGCUCCAACAGAUUCAUCUACAUCACAGCUCCUGCAUCUGUGCUUCAGGGAACAUUAUGGAAGAGAGGACACAAAGAUUGUAAGAGCCAGUAUACCAGAUCACACUUCUGCUGAUCCUACUUGACUGGAGAGUGGUGACAAGUUCAGAGAGCACUGAUGAUCCUCAGAAAGAGGAUGAACUGGAGGCAGCUGCUGGAAAUGUUGUCACAUGACUGGGGAUCCUGAAUGCUCUGCUGAGUUUGAUGAUACCAUCCUCUGAAUGAAGCUGCUUUGUCCCAUAAUGAUUCUGGUAGCACUAAUCAGGUGAUGAAGCAGAGCAAAGCACUGACCUCCUCUGUGAUGUUUUCUUAAGAUCAAGAACGAACUUAUUAUCAUUGAGCACCUUCAGCGUCUUCAUUUUAGAGAUGAGAAAAAUGAGGUCCAGGGACGUAAUGAUACUUAUCUGAGGCAAGAGUACACACAGCUGGACAGAGGAAACAAGAUUAGGCUACAAAACAGACAACUCCCAAACUGGACUGGAAAGCUGCUCCUGUUCAUGUCAUACCUUCUUGCUGAUUGACACGGGCCCUUUUGCUCUGUAUCAUCAUCCUGUUUCAUGGUGACAAACCAGGCAUUAGUUGUCGUAAGGGCAUGCUGAAGAACAGAACAGGUAGCAAACCUUUACCAACGCAACAGCACACAGAUUUCCUGAAUUACUUUAAUUAUACUCAGUG
Molecule: long non-coding RNA, 883 nt
Organism: Meriones unguiculatus (Mongolian gerbil)
Lineage: Eukaryota; Metazoa; Chordata; Mammalia; Rodentia; Muridae
Exons: 6
Source: RefSeq, a predicted model, not a curated record